RNAcentral lists this ribosomal RNA (247 nucleotides) under uncultured bacterium. RNAcentral's name for it is "partial 16S ribosomal RNA". It matches the Rfam family "Bacterial small subunit ribosomal RNA", at positions 523 to 769 of the family's 1533-position model. The record is from RNAcentral.
AUACGGAGGAUGCGAGCGUUAUCCGGAUUCAUUGGGUUUAAAGGGUGCGUAGGCGGACUUAUAAGUCAGUGGUGAAAUCCUGCAGCUUAACUGUAGCACUGCCAUUGAUACUGUUAGUCUUGAGUUUGGUUAAGGUAGGCGGAAUGUGUAAUGUAGCGGUGAAAUGCUUAGAUAUUACCCAGAACACCAAUUGCGAAGGCAGCUUACUGGACCGAUACUGACGCUGAGGCACGAAAGCGUGGGGAGC